AAUGGGAAGUACAACGAGUUGCGAAGUCGCGAGGCUAAGCUAAUCUCUUAAAGCUUCUCUCAGUUCGGAUUGCAGGCUGCAACUCGCCUGCAUGAAGCCGGAAUCGCUAGUAAUCGCGGAUCAGCACGCCGCGGUGAAUACGUUCCCGGGCCUUGUACACACCGCCCGUCACACCACGAGAGUUUGUAACACCCGAAGUCGGUGAGGUAACCUUUUUGGAGCCAGCCGCCUAAGGUGGGAUAGAUGAUUGGGGUGAAGUCGUAACAAGGUAGCCGUAUCGGAAGGUGCGGCUGGAUCACCUCCUUUCUAAGGAA
This 314-nucleotide ribosomal RNA is filed under the name Enterococcus faecium. RNAcentral's name for it is "partial 16S ribosomal RNA". It matches the Rfam family "Bacterial small subunit ribosomal RNA", at positions 1229 to 1533 of the family's 1533-position model. The record is from RNAcentral. Lineage: Bacteria; Bacillati; Bacillota; Bacilli; Lactobacillales; Enterococcaceae.